Molecule: ribosomal RNA, 255 nt
Filed under: uncultured bacterium
Lineage: Bacteria
Description: partial 16S ribosomal RNA
Rfam family: Bacterial small subunit ribosomal RNA
Source: RNAcentral
UACGUAGGGUGCAAGCGUUAAUCGGAAUUACUGGGCGUAAAGCGUGCGCAGGCGGCGCGUUAAGACAGGUGUGAAAGCCCCGAGCUUAACUUGGGAAUUGCGCUUGUGACUGGCGUGCUGGAGUGUGGCAGAGGGGAGGUGGAAUUCCACGUGUAGCAGUGAAAUGCGUAGAGAUGUGGAGGAACACCGAUGGCGAAGGCAGCCUCCUGGGCCGAGCACUGACGCUCAUGCACGAAAGCGUGGGGAGCAAACAGG